CUCACACUCUCCACUCCACUGUCAGAAGCGGACCUGGGCUCUCCUCCCUCAGCCCUGGCCUUGAGGCUGAGGCCUGGCCCUGGGGCAGGACCAGCCGACUCCCGGUUCUGCCCAAUGUGGCCCGCAGGCACUGAGCACAGGCUGGAGGCCAGCCUUCCAUUCCGCCCAUCCCCUCACUAGGCGGUCAAGGUCCCCUGGAGCCUCUGUUUCCCCAUCAGCCAAAUGGAAAUCCCAGCUCCCACCCUGCCUCCUGAGAGAAUGGGGAAACCCACUUGUGUAAACUGUAAUGUGCUGUGAAGACAGGAAGGGCCGCAGGCUGCAGGAAGCAGGGCUCCCCUCUACGGCAGCAGCAGAAGCACCGGCAGCUCCUGCUGGGCUGGCCUCCACCACGUUUCCCUCCUGCCCUCUGGUCCCCAUGGAGUCUGUCAUCUUCUGGCCACUCUCAGCUGAUGCUGAAAGUGAGUCAGGCGAGAAGAUGACCUGAGUGCAGGUGAAUCACGGGACCAGGAGGAGGAAGUGGAUUGUCACCAGACUGUCCUUCUGAGAGGCCAAGAGAGCAAGAGCGUGCCAUCCCAGCCCGAGCGACCUCUCCGGCAGGAGCAGAAGGUCCCUGCCUGAGCUCCUGGAGGCCCAGCCCUGUGCUCCACUGUCCCUCCAUCCACUGUCUGAACACCAGGUAGCUGAAGGCCGAUUCUGGGUCAGCGUGCAUGAGGUUCCUCUGGGGAGCACUGGAGCAGGAGUCCUGCUGAGGAACUCUGUGCUGUGACUGUUCCUGUAGCCCUGAUCUUAGGGCUGAGCCCUCUGCCUGUCCCAGACUGUGGUGUCCCGAGGAACACAGGUCACCUAAGUUCAUUCUCACGCCGUCUUCCCAUGAGCUGCUCGUGUGGACAUUACAACCCCAUUUUACAGAAAACAUUCACAGGUGUUUGGCAUGAAAAACCCCUUGCUGGAUUUUGUGGCACCUCCAAACAUUUAGGGGACCCUUGUUGAAGCUGGACUGGGUGUGAAGUCUCUCUUCUUGUCCAGCCCGGUGCAGCAUCCUGUGGGGCUGGGAGCCUCUCCAGGUCAGGCCUGCCUCGGAACCGCCUCUGACCCAGAGUCCAGCCCGAGGCCGCUGGCAUAGAGGAGGUGGCAGUGCCUGCUUGUUGAGUGAAUAUAUGACCUGGAUGGGGGGAACAUUCCUUGAAUGGAAGUGUUGAGAAGAUUGCUUUUCCCCUGGAGCAAACUAAAUCUUGGAGAUCUUGCCCUGUCAGGAGGUUGAAAUCUACCUUAUGACCUGCAACUGCCGCGGAGGACAUGGGGCCGCAGAGGACUGCCGAGACAGGAAUUCUCAUGCCCAUUUUACAGAUGAGGAAGUUGAGGCUCAGAGAGGGCCCAGGCAGCCAAGGCCCUAAUUACGCAGGCUUCCCGAGGAGGAGGAAGAACGAGGGGAAGUGGCCCCAGCCUCCUUACGCACUGUUUCCUCCUGACUCACUGCUGACCCGCUUGCCAGCCGGAAGUCACCAAAUUUCCCCAAACUUAUGGGUACCUGCCAGGUCAUGGGCCUGGUCCCAUUCUCCCCAGACGGGCCCGCCUCAGCUGACCUACCUCCCAGGCAUUUGGCUGAAAGAGGCCAAGCAGGGUGAUCCUGAGGAGCUGGGGAGGCAGGUGGGGGCGGGGAGACACUCAGGGUAUGGCCAGGGUGUGUCCUCGGUGCCAGCGCCCCACACAGCGUCCUUGGCCUGGUUUCCCCAGGGCAGCGCUCACCUGAUCACCUUGUGCCAGUCUCCUUGGAGGCCACCGGCUUAUUCACAAGGCCACUUGUGCCCAGUGGCCAAAGGGCACCAUAGCCAGUAGGGUCUGCCUGCCCUCCCAUCACAAAGGGUCCCAGAGAGGAGGCGCCCUACCCCACAGGGCCUUGGGCUUGGUCUGCAGGUCCUGUGCACCCCAGGCCCUCCUGCUCUGCUGGCCGUGUGGCCUGGACAGGCUGCCUCUGGUCCCGGGCUUCUUAACCUGUGCAACGGAGAUCCUCAGAUCUACCUUGUGCAGCUGUUGCCUGGAUCAGAUGGAACCCUGUGUUCAGAAGGCAUGGGGUGGUGCUGGCUGCAGGCUGCUGCCCUGGGGCUUUCUGAGCCGCAUCCCCAGGGCCAUCAAAUCCUGUGGGGCUCGCUUGUGGAGUUCCCAGUCUGCCUGCAGAGCAGAAUCUCUUGGGAGAUUUUAAACAGAUUUCACUUUGUGUCAAAUCCUGUUCAUAUUUUACACGUCCAACAUUCUACAGAAGAGGACAGAAUUUGUGGUGCCCCGGGUCCCCACAUCCAUGACCAGCCCACGUCCAUCUUGUUUAUUUAUACUCUGCCAACUACUUCCUUUCUUCCUAUUGGAAUCAACCCAAGGAGGUAUUUUUUAAGUACAAGUGCCAGAUUCUCACCUCCAGGAAUUUAAUCGAGUCAUCCAGGCCCAGAAAAAGGGUAUUUCCGCAAAGCUCCGGGAGACGUGGAGGUGCAGCCAGGGCCCGCCUGCGGGGCAGGGAGACCUGGGGCGCUGCCUCCAGAGGGUCUGGGAGACGUGGUGAGACCCCAGAGCAGUGGGGACAGACUCGAGGGGUGCACAGCACCUCCACUCCAGACGAGGAGAGAAACCACACGUGGAGACAGAUCCCACCCCAUGCCCACCUCAGGGUCUGAGAGGGAGAGGCCGACUCCCUCUUGGCUGCCUGGAGAGGCUGCUGACAGAGCCGUCAAUCCCACGCUCUGGGGAGAGCAAAGACCUGUGUGGACAAACCCACCCAGGAGAGUGGUUAACUGGCCAACCGCAAGGCUGCACAUUCCCGGGGGACUGAGCCAGCCGGUUCCUAUCAAAGGAGAGCCUGGCGCUGGCAGAGCUGGCGACAAAGGAUGCUUUGUUCCCCCGUUAAAAUAAACACUUCCCCUGGAUGUUUACUCCCACGUCUCGAAUGUAAUAUGGGGUGUAAGUUACUCUUUAACAGCUGACUUGGUCCAGGCCACCGAACUCUCCUGCACUAAUUUCCUGGAAGAAAGGCGUUCCCACCACCAACCCAGGUGUUUAUUAACCACGCCCCUUGGCGGUCAAGGAGAAGCUGGGUGCGGCUGUCACCUCUGAGAACCCGUGUGUCCUUGGGGGGCCACCCUCAGCCUUCCCUGAAGAACCAGUAGCGAGUUGACCAGUGAGUCCUCGGCUGUCUGGACAGGGAAACUUGAGGCUAGUGGGGUAGUUUUCCUCUGUGAGGUGAGAAACCUGUCUGUUCAGUCCCCACUUUGAGAGAACACAGUCGACCUAGGCUCCUGGGGAAAGUGGGCAUCCGGCUGGCCAGGCCGGCCCCCAGCACCAGGGCCCAGCGCACACCCACUGCAACUAUUACCAG
This 3361-nucleotide long non-coding RNA is filed under the name Equus caballus (horse). Its description in RNAcentral is "lncRNA (ENSECAG00000052939.1)". Lineage: Eukaryota; Metazoa; Chordata; Mammalia; Perissodactyla; Equidae. The record is from RNAcentral.